GUUAGAUGUUUGAAGCGGUGCAUUUGCAGACACAGUGAAUUGUGCCCAUGAAGCUGGAGGCUGGGAUAAGGGACCCAGCUAAAAAUCAGGGACCAAAGCAGCUAGAGUAUCAUCAGUGAACUCCAGCAACUUUCAACUCCAUGACAAAAAAAUCAUUGGUGAGACUGGGAUGGAUCUAAAAUGUGGCCGUGACUGAACAGUGAGAGCUGGGGAAGAUGUGCCUGCUGACACCUGUGGACCCAAAGCACUAGCCUAAUGGUGUAGCCUGUGCUGAGGGCCUGAUCUUGUGUGGGGCUGAGUGUCAGAAGCCCGAAAAAGAAAAAUAUUUACUUCAUAUUCAUGUAGGUAAAUGGCCAUAUUUAUAUCCUGAGCGAGCCACGGAAUUCUCCACACAGCUUUGUUAUUUAAUAAAUUUA
This is a long non-coding RNA of Mauremys reevesii (Reeves's turtle), 416 nucleotides long. RefSeq lists it as uncharacterized. The transcript has 3 exons. The record is from RefSeq and is a predicted model, not a curated record. Lineage: Eukaryota; Metazoa; Chordata; Testudines; Geoemydidae.